CUGCAAUGAUGGCAUUUCUUAGGACACCUUUGAAUUAACUAUGAAAACAACUACUCUCUGAGCAGC
Small nucleolar RNA from Nycticebus coucang (slow loris), 66 nucleotides. RefSeq annotates it as small nucleolar RNA SNORD58. The record is from RefSeq and is a predicted model, not a curated record. The transcript has a single exon. NCBI's taxonomy places the organism in Eukaryota, Metazoa, Chordata, Mammalia, Primates, Lorisidae.